GGGUUGUGAGGUUAAGCGACUAAGCGUACACGGUGGAUGCCUAGGCAGUCAGAGGCGAUGAAGGACGCGCUAAUCUGCGAAAAGCGUCGGUAAGCUGAUAUGAAGCGAUAUAGCCGGCGAUGUCCGAAUGGGGAAACCCAGUGCAAUGCGUUGCACUAUCAUUAACUGAAUCCAUAGGUUAAUGAGGCGAACCGGGGGAACUGAAACAUCUCAGUACCCCGAGGAAAAGAAAUCAACCGAGAUUCCCCCAGUAGCGGCGAGCGAACGGGGAGGAGCCCAGAACCAGCAUCAGCCACAGCAUCAGAGGAACGGUCUGGAAAGGCCGGCGAGAGAGGGUGACAGCCCCGUACUCGAAGAUGGCGUGGUUGUGAGUUCGAUGAGUAAGGCGGGACACGAGAAAUCCUGUCUGAAGAGGGGGGGACCAUCCUCCAAGGCUAAAUACUCCUGACUGACCGAUAGUGAACCAGUACCGUGAGGGAAAGGCGAAAAGAACCCCGGCGAGGGGAGUGAAAGAGAACCUGAAACCGUGUACGUACAAGCAGUGGGAGCCUUGAUGAAUCAGGGUGACUGCGUACCUUUUGUAUAAUGGGUCAGCGACUUAUAUUCUGUAGCAAGGUUAACCGAAUAGGGGAGCCGCAGGGAAACCGAGUCUUAACUGGGCGAAAUGAGUUGCAGGGUAUAGACCCGAAACCCGGUGAGCUAGCCAUGGGCAGGUUGAAGGUUGGGUAACACUAACUGGAGGACCGAACCGACUAAUGUUGAAAAAUUAGCGAAUGACUUGUGGCUGGGGGUGAAAGGCCAAUCAAACCGGGAGAUAGCUGGUUCUCCCCGAAAGCUAUUUAGGUAGCGCCUCGUGAGUUCAUCUUCGGGGUAGAGCACUGUUUCGGCUAGGGGGCCAUCCCGGCUUACCAACCCGAUGCAAACUGCGAAUACCGAAGAAUGUCAUCACGGGAGACACACGGCGGGUGCUAACGUC
This 976-nucleotide ribosomal RNA is filed under the name Photorhabdus luminescens subsp. luminescens. Its description in RNAcentral is "bacterial LSU rRNA". It matches the Rfam family "Bacterial large subunit ribosomal RNA", at positions 1 to 1005 of the family's 2925-position model. The record is from RNAcentral. Lineage: Bacteria; Pseudomonadati; Pseudomonadota; Gammaproteobacteria; Enterobacterales; Morganellaceae.